RNAcentral lists this transfer RNA (76 nucleotides) under Lachnospiraceae bacterium. RNAcentral describes it as "tRNA-Met". It matches the Rfam family "tRNA". From Rfam's summary of the family: Transfer RNA (tRNA) molecules are approximately 80 nucleotides in length. Their secondary structure includes four short double-helical elements and three loops (D, anti-codon, and T loops). Lineage: Bacteria; Bacillati; Bacillota; Clostridia; Lachnospirales; Lachnospiraceae. The record is from RNAcentral.
GCCUCUGUAGCUCAGUCGGUAGAGCAACGGACUCAUAUCCCGUAAGUCGUAGGUUCGAUUCCUACCGGAGGCACCA